AUGAGCUGCAUAAGCUGGAACUGCCGGGGGCUUGGGAACCCCGAGGCAGUUCGCGAGCUUCGCAAUGUUGUGAAGCAAGAAGGGCCUGUGCUGGUUUUUGUCAUGGAGACGAAGAUCAGUGGGAAAUGAGUCGAGGAUAUGCGGCGUACUUUAGGGUUUGUAGGCAGUUUUGCAGUAAACAGUGACGGCCUAAGCGGAGGCAUAGGGCUGUUCUGGUCUAAUGAUAUUAAGGUGGAGCUCAAGAACUUUCGGCAAAAAUCAUAUUGA
Molecule: ribosomal RNA, 267 nt
Filed under: Triticum aestivum (bread wheat)
Lineage: Eukaryota; Viridiplantae; Streptophyta; Magnoliopsida; Poales; Poaceae
Description: partial small subunit ribosomal RNA
Source: RNAcentral